Molecule: non-coding RNA, 551 nt
Organism: Musa acuminata subsp. malaccensis (wild Malaysian banana)
Lineage: Eukaryota; Viridiplantae; Streptophyta; Magnoliopsida; Zingiberales; Musaceae
Source: RefSeq, a predicted model, not a curated record
AGAAUUUGGGAGAAUACGCUAUCUUUUUAUGCAACAACCAAUCUCUUUGUCUCUCUUGUAAAGACUUACCUGAGUUGAAACCAAACCACAUCUAUUUCACUAAUGACUUCUGGUGGUGGAAUGAUCACCAUAGAGAGAAAUGCCGGGAUGUAAUCGUCUAUGAUUUGGAGAACAAUACCUUCUCAUAUAUUUUGCACUCUGAUGCUCGUCUAAACAUGCCACCUCCUAUUUGGAUCACUCCCAGUCCUCUGCUUAAUGACUGAUAGCUUCUUCUUCCUCCUCCGGAAGAAGCCAAUGAUAUCUAUAUGUACAAGUGAGUCACAGAAUCUUUUGCUUUCGAUCAUUCUCGUCUCUGAUCGGUUUGCCUACACCGAGGUGGAAGGCUUCGCUCUCUAAGGUCUGUCUGGUGGGAUGGGUUAUGGCCUUGAGCUUCUCCUCAAGAAUUAUUCUUAUUCUGUUUCAAGUCUUGUGUAAUAUGAAUCCUGAUCAGAUGAUGUGUAUGUUUUGUUCGGAGCCUGCUUUAUCUGAUAUGUUUAUAUCAAUGUUGGUUU